GAUGAACGCUGGCGGCGUGCCUAAUACAUGCAAGUCGAGCGAACGGACGAGAAGCUUGCUUCUCUGAUGUUAGCGGCGGACGGGUGAGUAACACGUGGAUAACCUACCUAUAAGACUGGGAUAACUUCGCGAAACCGGAGCUAAUACCGGAUAAUAUUUUGAACCGCAUGGUUCAAAAGUAAAAGACGGUCUUGCUGUCACUUAUAGAUGGAUCCGCGCUGCAUUAGCUAGUUGGUAAGGUAACGGCUUACCAAGGCAACGAUGCAUAGCCGACCUGAGAGGGUGAUCGGCCACACUGGAACUGAGACACGGUCCAGACUACUACGGGAGGCAGCAGUAGGGAAUCUUCCGCAAUGGGCGAAAGCCUGACGGAGCAACGCCGCGUGAGUGAUGAAGGUCUUCGGAUCGUAAAACUCUGUUAUUAGGGAAGAACAUAUGUGUAAGUAACUGUGCACAUCUUGACGGUACCUAAUCAGAAAGCCACGGCUAACUACGUG
RNAcentral lists this ribosomal RNA (497 nucleotides) under uncultured bacterium. RNAcentral's name for it is "partial 16S ribosomal RNA". It matches the Rfam family "Bacterial small subunit ribosomal RNA", at positions 28 to 507 of the family's 1533-position model. The record is from RNAcentral.